UCUCUCGGUUGCCGGAAGAUGGGGGGGAAAUCACCUUAAGUGCUUGCUGCCGGGUUUUGUGACGAGAGUAAGGAUGGAGAAGCGUGAACGGUCUUGGGAGACGUGCAUUACCUUGACCUUAAGAGAUGAUGCGUCCUGAUUGGCUAGCUCUGCUGCCCUCUCCCCGGGGGUCAACAGGGUCAUAAUUACAGAAGAAAUAGAAAAGUAGGGGAUCAAACAAGCCCGCCGCAGUGGCGGGCGCUGGCAGGGGAAAGCUGGGCCUCCGUGCUUGCCUCUAGGUGGGCUCGAGUCCCCUGGGUCGGCCCGCCCAGGCGAGGCGCGUGACCCGCGCCAGACCGCGCGGGGGGCGGGGCUAGAGGGCAGUGGGCGUGGCCGUCCACGUGCGCACAUUUGUCUCCUGUGCUCGCGGGCGGACAGGACCCCCAGAGCGCAGGCAUCCGGUCCAGGCGGCACCGCAGGGCGCCUCGUCCAGGCUUCUGGGGGAGCUUCUCUGGACCGCGAAGGCCGCCCCGUUGGGAAACCGCGCACGCCACACGAAUGCACUUGGAUAGAUUCGAGGAGAGGAGCCGUAAAAUCGAAAAUCAUGUUUCUCCAGUGCUGUUCUGAGAUAGCCCAACAGCAACCUGAACUGAUUCACCAUCUGCAUAGAAACCAGAAGUUGAUGAGCAAAGUCCAAAUUCUUUUGGCACCAUGUUCAAAGCAGAGCCUUCCCACCCCCUCAUUAACUGCUACUGUGCAUUCAUUUAACAAACACUUGGAGCCCCUGUUCUGUGCUGGCACUGGGGGAACACUGGAAUCAGUCCCUCAGAACCUCUGGGCAAGGGGAUGAAAUUGAGUUUCCAGACCUACAAAGCUGUGAACUGGAUCCUGUCCCACGUCCUGCCCACCUGUGAGGUCCUAUGAGCCGCAGGUGAGAGCGCUCAACCCCUCUCGGCUGCAACCAUCUGCUUUAAACCAUUCUCAUGUUUGUUGAACGAGUGAAUGAUCAAAUGAAAAAAUAAAUAGAUGGCUAGCUG
This 1016-nucleotide long non-coding RNA is filed under the name Equus caballus (horse). RNAcentral describes it as "lncRNA (ENSECAG00000054177.1)". The record is from RNAcentral. Lineage: Eukaryota; Metazoa; Chordata; Mammalia; Perissodactyla; Equidae.